AUACGUAGGUGGCGAGCGUUAUUCGGAUUUAUUGGGCGUAAAGGGUCCGCAGGGGGUUUGUUAAGUCCGGUGUGAAAUCCCACGGCUCAACCGUGGAACUGCACUGGAUACUGGCAGACUAGAGCACAGGAGAGGAAAGCGGAAUUCCUGGUGUAGCGGUGGAAUGCGUAGAUAUCAGGAGGAACACCGAUGGCGAAGGCGGCUUCCUGGCCCGCAACUGACGCUGAAUCACGAAAGCGUGGGGAGCAAACAGGAUUAGAAACCCUAGUAGUCC
Molecule: ribosomal RNA, 274 nt
Filed under: uncultured bacterium
Lineage: Bacteria
Description: partial 16S ribosomal RNA
Rfam family: Bacterial small subunit ribosomal RNA
Source: RNAcentral